RNAcentral lists this unclassified non-coding RNA (240 nucleotides) under soil metagenome. Its description in RNAcentral is "partial contains 5.8S ribosomal RNA, internal transcribed spacer 2, and large subunit ribosomal RNA". The record is from RNAcentral.
AACAUCGCGCACCUGCGGGAACCUGCGGAGGGAUCAUUACUGAGUCACGUGCUCAAACAACCCUUCUGUGGACCUGAAAUAAAACCGUUGCCUCGGCGGGCGGUCCCCCCCAAACCAACCCCACGUGGUGGGUUAGGGGAGACCAGACAGUCCGGUACGCUUAAGGCGUCCGGCGCCAGCCGCUGGCCCCAAACAAUUAAACUCUAGUAAUCUUUACCUUCUGAGUUUCAAUAUUUAAAG